UUAGUUGCCAGCAUUUAGUUGGGCACUCUAAGGGGACGUGCCGGUGAUAAGCCGAGAGGAAGGUGGGGAUGACGUCAAGUCCUCAUGGCCCUUACGGGCUGGGCUACACACGUGCUACAAUGGUGGUGACAGUGGGCAGCGAGCACGCGAGUGUGAGCUAAUCUCCAAAAGCCAUCUCAGUUCGGAUUGCACUCUGCAACUCGAGUGCAUGAAGUUGGAAUCGCUAGUAAUCGCGGAUCAGCAUGCCGCGGUGAAUACGUUCCCGGGCCCU
This 271-nucleotide ribosomal RNA is filed under the name uncultured Rhizobiaceae bacterium. RNAcentral's name for it is "partial 16S ribosomal RNA". It matches the Rfam family "Bacterial small subunit ribosomal RNA", at positions 1111 to 1382 of the family's 1533-position model. Lineage: Bacteria; Pseudomonadati; Pseudomonadota; Alphaproteobacteria; Hyphomicrobiales; Rhizobiaceae. The record is from RNAcentral.